AAUCAACGCUGGCGGCGUGCCUAACACAUGCAAGUCGCACGAGAAAGGGGAGCAAUCCCUGAGUAAAGUGGCGCACGGGUGAGUAACACGUGAAUAAUCUACCUCCGAGUGGGGAAUAACUGAGAGAAAUCUUAGCUAAUACCGCAUAACACUUACGAGUCAAAGCAGCAAUGCGCUUGGAGAGGAGUUCGCGGCCGAUUAGUUAGUUGGCGGGGUAAUGGCCCACCAAGACGAUGAUCGGUAUCCGGCCUGAGAGGGCGCACGGACACACUGGAACUGGAACACGGUCCAGACUCCUACGGGAGGCAGCAGUGGGGAA
This 319-nucleotide ribosomal RNA is filed under the name uncultured bacterium. Its description in RNAcentral is "bacterial SSU rRNA". It matches the Rfam family "Bacterial small subunit ribosomal RNA", at positions 32 to 361 of the family's 1533-position model. The record is from RNAcentral.